RNAcentral lists this ribosomal RNA (431 nucleotides) under uncultured bacterium. RNAcentral's name for it is "partial 16S ribosomal RNA". It matches the Rfam family "Bacterial small subunit ribosomal RNA", at positions 338 to 795 of the family's 1533-position model. The record is from RNAcentral.
CCUACGGGAGGCAGCAGUGGGGAAUAUUGGACAAUGGGCGCAAGCCUGAUCCAGCCAUACCGCGUGGGUGAAGAAGGCCUUCGGGUUGUAAAGCCCUUUUUGAAGACACGCGGUACCCAAAGAAUAAGCACCGGCUAACUUCGUGCCAGCAGCCGCGGUAAUACGAAGGGUGCAAGCGUUACUCGGAAUUACUGGGCGUAAAGCGUGCGUAGGUGGUCGUUUAAGUCCGUUGUGAAAGCCCUGGGCUCAACCUGGGAACUGCAGUGGAUACUGGGCGACUAGAAUGUGGUAGAGGGUAGCGGAAUUCCUGGUGUAGCAGUGAAAUGCGUAGAGAUCAGGAGGAACAUCCAUGGCGAAGGCAGCUACCUGGACCAAAUGACACUGAGGCACGAAAGCGUGGGGAGCAAACAGGAUUAGAUACCCUUGUAGUC